RNAcentral lists this ribosomal RNA (317 nucleotides) under uncultured bacterium. RNAcentral's name for it is "bacterial SSU rRNA". It matches the Rfam family "Bacterial small subunit ribosomal RNA", at positions 355 to 668 of the family's 1533-position model. The record is from RNAcentral.
UAGGGAAUAUUGGACAAUGGGGGGAACCCUGAUCCAGCCAUGCCGCGUGGAGGAAGACUGCCCUCUGGGUUGUAAACUCCUUUUAUAUGGGAAGAACCGUCCUCAUUGAUGAGUGACCUGACGGUACCAUAGGAAUAAGCACCGGCUAACUCCGUGCCAGCAGCCUCGGUAAUACGGAGGGUGCAAGCGUUAUCCGGAUUCACUGGGUUUAAAGGGAGCGUAGGCGGAUAUGUAAUUCAUUGGUGAAAUCAACGGGCUCAACCUGUUAAAUGCCAUUGUUACGGUGGAGCUUGAAUAUGAGAGAGGUAGGCGGAAUG